CUCUGGGUGGUACAACAGUUAAGCAUUUGGCUGCUAACCAAAAGGUUGGAGGUUCGAGUCCACCCAGAGU
RNAcentral lists this transfer RNA (70 nucleotides) under Loxodonta africana (African savanna elephant). It matches the Rfam family "tRNA". Rfam says of the family: Transfer RNA (tRNA) molecules are approximately 80 nucleotides in length. Their secondary structure includes four short double-helical elements and three loops (D, anti-codon, and T loops). Further hydrogen bonds mediate the characteristic L-shaped molecular structure. tRNAs have two regions of fundamental functional importance: the anti-codon, which is responsible for specific mRNA codon recognition, and the 3' end, to which the tRNAs corresponding amino acid is attached (by aminoacyl-tRNA synthetases). tRNAs cope with the degeneracy of the genetic code in two manners: having more than one tRNA (with a specific anti-codon) for a particular amino acid; and 'wobble' base-pairing, i.e. permitting non-standard base-pairing at the 3rd anti-codon position. Lineage: Eukaryota; Metazoa; Chordata; Mammalia; Proboscidea; Elephantidae. The record is from Rfam by way of RNAcentral.